This 1703-nucleotide long non-coding RNA is filed under the name Mus musculus (house mouse). Its description in RNAcentral is "RIKEN cDNA A230001M10 gene". Lineage: Eukaryota; Metazoa; Chordata; Mammalia; Rodentia; Muridae. The record is from RNAcentral.
ACUGGUCAGAUAUACUCACGGAGGGCUGCUGUCACCUGUCAUCACUGCUGGACAGAUGAUUUCAACACAGACAUUACAAGUGGUCCAGCCUCUUCAUAAGCCUGCACUAAAGACACUGAAGCUUGUGAUCACCCGUGUCAGGACAAGGAAUGGCAUCUCCCUAACAGGACUCAAGAGCCUUUGCCAUUAUCUGUGGUAUUAAGCAGGUUUCAAUUAGGAUUUUAGGUGGAUUUUUUUCUUUGUUCCGCAGAAGUUUUAAUCAAGGCAGAAAAACUCUGACGCCUCAUUCUCCUCACAACAGUCAGUCACCAAAGCGUUGCAUUUUUCUUCCUGAAGCUUCCCCUCCCUCGGGCACAUUUUUAGCAAAAAAGAUGAGAUCCCAAGCUCUCCAGAUGUUGCCUCUCAGAUGUGCCUCAGCACGCAUCUCAGAGCCAUCUGGCCGCAGCAACAGCUGGACUGCUUCCAAGUGGAAGUGCUCACAGAACAACCAUGCGUCAGGCACUGGCUAUACGGACUGAGAAGCUGAAAACUGAUCAGAGUCAAGCUGAGCCUAUUGACCGCUUUCCAUGUCCACAGAGAUAAACACGAACAAACCUAAGAUAAAACCCCACUGAGUGCACUUCCCUGGGACCAUUUCGAGAGCUUCCGACCUCUGGGAACACAUAUGUGAGCCAGCAGGAUGGCCACAUCACCCACAGGGCAGUGUAGAGGUGGAUGCCAAACGCAGAGAAACUGAGUCAUAAAUGCCUGUAACUCUUCCUGUGGGUGUGAGGAUCCUAUCUCUCAACCCAGCUUGAAUGGGAUUUGUUUCUGCAACUGGAAUAAUCUUAAAUUAUCCAUUCUGACACCAGAGACUCAGCACUUUCAGUUUCAGAGUUCAUCAUGAUGGUGGGAAACAUGGCAGCAUGCAGGAAGACAUGGUACUGGAAGAGCCAAGACUUCUACAUCUUGAUUUGAAAGCAGCCAGGAAGAGGGACUAUCUUGCAUAGGGAUCCAGGAGUGGACUCUUUUCCACACUGGGUAGGACCUGAGCAUAAAAGUCUCAAAGCUCACCUCUACAGUGACAUGCUUCCUCCAACAAGGUCACACCUACUUCAACAAGGUCAUACCUCCUCAUAGUGCUACUCCCUGGGCUAAGCAUAUUCAAACUAUCACAAAUAUGAAGUAGUUAGAUGUCAUUUACAAUGAAGGUUGAAACUUAUCAAAGGGAAUAUAAGUCAAUUUCCUCCUGGUGAGACACCAGAUUUUAUAAAUUUAUUUUUAGUUUUCAUUUGCUCUGUUACAACAACCUGACUUUAUUAGGAGGUAGAACCUGGUUGGUUGAAGUAGGACACUGAGGAUGUAUCUGGACCCAUGUCCCUGCCCCUCCUAUUUUCUGAUUACUGUCCGUCACAAGUGGGUGCCUUACCUUAUCACAUAGUCUUACAGCCCUGAAGUUUUGACUCACCACAGGCUCUUCCUCUAACUGAGCUGAAAACUCACACCAGUACCCUGGAGAUGGACUUGGGGUUACUGGAACCUCUGUCUGGUCCUCCUCCCAGUGCACAUUGAUGAACUCACCCAUUUUUUGAUUUUCACCAUUGCCUCUCUCUUUAAUCAGUGUACUGGGGAUGAGUGGCCAAGCAGAACCUGAGAUUUUUGCCCUAAAAUUCUUGUUACAAAAGUUCUAAAACUGUGAGAUAAAUCUUUCUUUCAAGCUGUUC